Molecule: ribosomal RNA, 500 nt
Filed under: uncultured bacterium
Lineage: Bacteria
Description: partial 16S ribosomal RNA
Rfam family: Bacterial small subunit ribosomal RNA
Source: RNAcentral
AUUGAACGCUGGCGGCAUGCCUUACACAUGCAAGUCGAGCGGCAGCGCGGGGGCAACCCUGGCGGCGAGCGGCGAACGGGUGAGUAAUAUAUCGGAACGUGUCCUGUAGCGGGGGAUAACCUAUCGAAAGAUGGACUAAUACCGCAUACGACCUACGGGUGAAAGCGGAGGACCGCAAGGCUUCGCACUAUAGGAGCGGCCGAUAUCGGAUUAGCUAGUUGACGGGGUAAAAGCCCACCAAGGCGACGAUCCGUAGCUGGUCUGAGAGGACGACGAGCCACACUGGAACUGAGGAGCGGUCCAGACUCCUACGGGAGGCAGCAGUGGGGAAUGUUGGACAAUGGGCGCAAGCCUGAUCCAGCCAUGCCGCGUGAGUGAAGAAGGCCUUCGGGUUGUAAAGCUCUUUCGGCGGGGACGAAAUGGUUCGUGCUAAUACCACGGACUGAUGACGGUACCCGAAGAAGAAGCACCGGCUAACUACGUGCCAGCAGCCGCCGCAG